UACGAAGGGGGCUAGCGUUGUUCGGAAUUACUGGGCGUAGAGCGCGUGUAGGCGGGUCUUUAAGUCAGGGGUGAAAUGCCAAGGCUCAACCUUGGAACUGCCUUUGAUACUGGAGAUCUUGAGUCCGGGAGAGGUGAGUGGAAUUGCGAGUGUAGAGGUGAAAUUCGUAGAUAUUCGCAAGAACACCAGUGGCGAAGGCGGCUCACUGGCCCGGAACCGACGCUGAGACGCGAAAGCGUGGGGAGCAAACAGG
Molecule: ribosomal RNA, 253 nt
Filed under: uncultured bacterium
Lineage: Bacteria
Description: partial 16S ribosomal RNA
Rfam family: Bacterial small subunit ribosomal RNA
Source: RNAcentral